CUCAGGGGCUGUCCCUCUGCUGAGCAAUGUUAAGGGUGAAAGAGGUGAAAGCAGUAAAAAAUUAUCAGCAGCCUCUUCUGGCUGCACGCUUUUCUGAGCGUCCUGAAACGUUCUGCAUGCUGUGUUGAGCAGUGCUGCCCAUUGCAGCUCUAUCACAAGUUCCAUCUACUCUUCUUUAUUACUAAUUUAUCAUCGUGCUGGCUGGUGUUUAUUUAUAGAAAGUAUGUGCAAGGCUAUGACAGCCAUCAGAUUAAUGAUUUGAUUUACGUCCCAUGCCACUGUAAAAAUUUCAGGCUGUUUUUAGGAAGGGCCUUUGAACAGCUCUUGCAGAAAUCAUUAUUUCUUGUCCAUGCUGUGGUGGCAGUUAUUUCUCGAGCAGAAAGUGCCUAAACACAUGGAAGAAGGAGAUAUUUCAGAAAGAUGUGGCCCUACCCAAGUGGUAAGUGUCAGAAGUGGGAUGAGGGAGCUGUGAGAUUUAGGUCAGCAGGGCUUGGGUGAGACCAUGCUCAGCCUGCAGCUCUGCAAGGAGCCUCCUCUGACCUCAGGAGUGGUGCUUGGGGGACAGCAGGUGGAUGGGAUCCCAGAGAGAGAUUUACCCUGCUUCAUGUUGAUUAUUUUAGAGUUGCUAUCUAAUCUAGACUGCUCUUUCUACAGUUAAGAGAGAUAGGGUAUCUCCACUGACCUAGCUGGACAGAUGAUUGGGAGGAAACAUCUCCAAUGGCUGCAGUGGUGAAGCUUGAUCAAAGUCCUACGUGUCUCUCUUGACCAGAGAGACUUUACAACUUGCUAACCUUAGGUUAGAUGAAUCCCAGCUCUUUUAUUCUUGGUUCUGCCAGCAACUUGGUAUAGGAUUAUAUGCCUUGACUAUCACCUGCAACAUGUGUUACACAACAGUAUGGGAGAGGAGAGUGUUUCAUUUUGUCAAGGAGGGACUUGGGAGUGGUGUCUACUAAGUACAGCCUACAGACACUGGCAAAGGAAAACAUCCUUUUUGAGGAAAUGCAUUUAAUUGGAGAACAUACUUAAACGCAAGCAUGUACUUUACUGAUAUCCUGUUUGGGUACAUUGUUAAACAGAUGCAAAGUGCUUUGCAAUUCAUCAACUUGGGAUGUUAGAUAAUAACAUCAAUGUGUUAUUCUUACAGCAUUAUGUGCAAGUAAAUGCUAACUCACCCUGCUGGAGCUAAGGCUCUCCUUCCUGAGUACAUCACCUUGAGGAAGAACCUAGUCCCAGUGCUCUGUCACUUCCACAGUGUUAUUCACUUUAUUUCUUGAUUUUCCAUCAGCACGUUAUGAUAGAAGAUCUAGUCUCACAUUGAAAAUGUGCUGUCUACAUUUUCCUACCCCAGUAUCAACAGCACAUGGCAUGCCCAACAUCAGUACAGUCCUGUGUAUGAGAAGCCCAUUCUGCAGCCUGUCUGGAAAUGUUACCAGAGCCACUGGAUUGAGACUAUGUUUGCAAAGCUCCUCCUGGCAGUCGGACACCUUUUCCUUGUGUUACAGCCCAAAAUUCAACUUUCUUCUCACACAGAAUGUGCUUUGUUGUAUUUAUUACUGCAAAUAGCUGAGACCAGGCACACUGUACUGAGGAGCUGUGGUCAAAGAGGAUCUUAUUCACCUGUUUUGGACCUUCUUCACAAAUAGUUUUUCAUCUUGGGUCUUUUCUUCUCUACACGUGAUUUGGAUUUAUAAAGCAAUUGGUAGAACUGAGCAGUCAGGAAAAAAAAAUGUAAAAAGGUGGAAAGGUGUUCGUUAUUUAUUUGAAUUUCAGUGGACUUAGAAAGCUCCACAGUUAAAAUUCAGGACCCCCUUGUGCUAGGCAGUGUGUAUAAAGUAAAAAACACUCCUGUUUUGGAAUGCUAGUAAUUUGCAUUGUGACUGUAAAACAACAGAGAAAAUAGGUAAUAAAUGUGUACUGGCAUAUGAGAUAACCACGAAAGAAACUGGGUUAAGCCAAAGUGAACUUUGAUUUACUUUUAUGGUCAUUAUAGUUAACUUUCUGUUGUGGUAAACGUGGUAUUGUGAUUUGUUAUUUGUACAGAUUGCCAAUUAGAAACCUCAAGACAAGAUUGUGGCUUAUCAUACAACAUAACAUUACGAAUACCAGCUAGCUUACACUGACUGUAAUUCAUGUUUACAAUCAGUAAUCCCACACGAGAUAUGCUUUAUGAUUCAUGAUUCAUUUGUACAACUUUUCCCCACAAACCUCCAUGUUCUUUUUUUGGCAAGGCACUCCCAGCUAACAGUACUGAAGGACUUGGUGCCCCAGCACACCUUACUCUUCAGUCUCUAGCUGCCAGGAUUAAGUCCAAACAGUGAUAGAAACUUCCAGUGAUCAACUUUGGGAUUUGUCUGUGACUCAGCAACAGACUCACAUCCCAGCCCAGAUGACACUCCUCCCUCAGAUGUGCCAGUUCAGUGGCUUUUGUGAUGCUGCUGGUCAGGUCUGGGUAGUGAUCUAGAUUAAAACAAACAUUUUUUAAGGAAGGAAGGAGAGGUUAUUUUUUUUUUUUUACCCAGAUAAUUUUGCAUUUAGUUUAGAGUGUCAUGAGAAAAAAAAAACUUCAGUUUGAGAGAGACAAAUAGCAGACUCAGAAACCAGAUCUUCUGCCAUGGGAACAGGAAUGUGGAAUUCCAAAAAUGAUGAUCCAGGCUCUGCAAGAACUAAAAGCAUUAACUUUCUCUAAAGAUGAAAGGUCUGAAAUCCUGUUCUUCUCUGAGCUACAAAGAACAACUUCCAUUCCUUCCCCAGGAGAUCAGAGUGGAAAGUGAGAGAUGGGUUUGAACAGUCUGAAGGUUAAGGGGCAACUGAGUCUCCCAGACUGAUGCAUACUAGACAAGCACUUGAGAUACCAUAACUAGCUGUAAAAAAUGGCCAAGGUUGGAUCUGUGGAGAGCAGUCAGCAUUUAUUAGGUACUGGAUACAAUAUAUAUCCAAUUUAUCCAAUAUUGAUGAAGCACUUUUUUAGUACUUUAACUCUUUCCCCUGUUGCUGAGGCUGUAUCGCUGUCCUCAAGCCAUUCCUUCUGCCUCCUCCAUCAUCAUCUCCACCCCAUUGCUUCUUGACCCACUGUCUCCAGAACUCCCUGUACUGCCUUUCUGCCUUUCGACUGCCUUCUGUGUCCAUCAAGCCAUUUCCUUCUUGCUUCUCUUCCAUGCUGCUUGCUCCAGAUACAUUGAACCCAAUCUGAUAGACACAUUAGCGAGCUGUCUAGUAAGUGGGACUUAAUUUUUAACUUCACUUGUGAGACAAGACUUGCAAGUAUGUGAAGAAGUCUACAGAGGAAGAAGUUACCCAGUGAGCUGUGCCAUCCAAGUGGAGCUGGGAUAUACUUUUGACAUUCAGUAACUCAGCUGCACUUCUAAUUUAGGCACCUAAAUCCUUUCUUGUAUCUAGUUCUUAAUCUUUUUCUUCAGCAGAUCUUACUCCUUGAGCAAAUACUUUGGUUUUCCCGUGGUUUGCUUGCUGAGAUACAAGUGGGACUGCCUUCUACUGGUUUUGCAAUAUGCACUUCAAAGUAGCCCAAUUUUAUCAGCUUCCUGAAGGAUUAAUGCUAUAGAAAAGUAUACCCAGCAGCUGGUCUCUGACUUCUGCUAUUUAAAAAUUGUGUUUUCUGACAUUUUAUUAUUGUUCUCCCAUACAUCCCGGUGCGUAUAGACAGCUGGUUAUUUUCCAGAGUCAGCAAGUUCAAAAUGGAUACAACUUGCAUUCCUAUGGAGCGUAGAAAAAUGUGCCACUGAAUUAAAUAUUAAUCAUAUUAUUUCCAAAGGAGAGGAAUGCGAGUAUAAUUAAAGAAACAUAUAAAAUGAUUUAUUCGGAAAAAGCGUAAAAUACAUACUUUAAAAAAUGUAUUUAUUUUCUUAGAUUUCUGGUUUGAUUCCUGUUCAGACUGAAAGUUAAUUCGCUAAUGGCCCUCCACUGGCCCAUAACGUGAGGCUGGCUGAUCUUAAUUCCAGUUCCCAAGGACAGAGUGUCCUGUCACACAGUGAGUUGCAUUUUGUGUUCAAGCUCUGUUUUCUGUUUCAGCAGAACAGAAUGCUUUGUGGACAAGGACAGCACGGAGGGAUUCCUUAUGUUUGAGGAGAGGGCUUGCUGUUGUUAUCCAGGAUGUUCUGUAGCAGUUCUGAAAAGGGAUUCUGUCUGGGCUUUUUGGUAGGCAGGGCUGUGUGCUCUGCCCGGAGUCAGCUUUAAGUUAGUGGAACAAAUCAUGGUAAUUUCAUUAGAAACCACAUCAAGCCUUGUUCAAGAAAAGAGUUUAGAUGUCUGUAGCAGAAUAUAUCUGGACUUUAGACAUCUAUAUUUCUUCUGCAAUCCCCACAGUUGCUACUUAUCAGUUGUCUAAACCCACAUCUGCCUUAUCUCUGUAGGUUCUUCUCUGUUUGAACUGAAAGUUCACCAGUUGCACACGCUCUCUGAGAUGAACAGAAAAUUUCAGUGCAAAUUUACCUUUGUUCAACACGACAACUUACAGCUUUUCUAUCCUGAGUGUAACUCAGGCUCAGAGAGUCCACAGCAUGCUUGGGAGAUUUGGUGAUAUUUACUUAUGAACUGGGCUUCAGUGCACUGCACCUUUACAGAAAUCAGGUUGGUGGAUAACCUUCAUGGUUCAGAAAGUGAAAGCACAGAUAAAAGCUUGUAAUCAUGAUGUUACAGAAAGAAGAUGAAAGGAGGAAAGAGGAAUGGAAUUUAUCACCUCUAGACCUUCAAGGACGAAUCAUGUAUUUUAUGUUACCAUCAAUGGAUAAAAGAAUUCCCUAUUGUGGCAAUCCUCUAAUACCGUGGGACAAGGCUAUUAGAGGAUAAUCCCAGCCUAAAUUGCAACACUGUGCUUGAGCACUGGUUCUCCUAAUGCUGUAGGAUACAAUUACAGAUCAAGGCCUGGAAACCACAGCCUUUGUUCUGCCUUAUUGCUUAAUUGUUUAAUGAAGUAUUCACUUCAUCUAAGUGAGUGCUUUGUAAUUUUGAAGUUGCAUGCAGCUGGCAGUGGCAAUGAGCAAAGAACUGGCUUUUUUACAGGAUAAUUUGUUCUCUUGGUAAUAGAAGGUACCAUUAAAGAUAUCUGACUCUGAUAGUAAAUAAUCUGAGAGAUCUCCCAAUAAAAGAGGAAUCUCGUCCUUAAAAGUGAGGAAAGAAAGCACAUUUGUUACUGUUUGUUUUUUUUUUCCUUCCAGUCUUCCUCUUGAUGCUGUGCAAAGACAGAUGGGAGAGGUGGUUUUACCAUUUGUGACUGAUCCUGCACUAACAGCUCAGUUGUUAAGGUCAUGACACUGCAUCGCAUGUACCUCUAAAAUGGGACGGGAGACAAUCUUGAUUAAAAAAAAAAGUGCAUAUCAAGAGGAGAGCAGCAUUCAAGUCCUUUCCAGUCACUAUAAAGAAACACAAAACAACAUUUCAAAAGUGUAUUUUACACUUUUUGGAGGUUUUAAGAGGAAAGCAGCAGCCUUGUUCUGCCCUUUAAAAUAUCCCUAUGCUCAGGAUAAGGUGUCCGACUCCAGCUCCCAAGGUCACCAGAGGCAUCAUUUCCCUGCUGGCUACUGGUAAGCACCUCUGCACACUCCAAGUAUAUCAGGUGGUUUAGAUCACUCUUUUGAAACAUUUCAUUCUCUUUAUGAACUGUAGGAGGAACUUAGUAAAUUUGCUGUGGGUUUGGGUUCCAUUUUUGGCCAAGCACCCAAACUCCAGACACCAGAUGUCAAGUGUAGGCAAUAGCCUACUGAGAGAAUGUGACCCUGGGAACAAGAGAAAGUCAUCCGAAUUCUGGAGGUUUUCUUGCAUGUCAGCAAUGAAGGAUCUCUUGCAAGUGCUAAAUACCAAAGUAGUAUUUCCAGUCUAGAAUAUAGAGUUUUUCCUGUAUAUUUUCUUUAUAUAGCUCUAAAAAUCUUUAAUGAAUAAGAUCAGUACAAAGAAUAGGUGAGGUCACCCGUACACUAAUCCCUUGCCAGCCCUGCCUCUUGGGAGGAAACGUCUCUGAACACUUUGCUGGUUCUCACAAAGAAGGAUGCUUCUUCAGUGAAACCACGUUUCUGGAGGAAAAUGGCAGAGAGGGGCAGAUUGCAGCUAGUUCACUCAUUGCUUUCUGUGCAUACUCUGCUGUGUGUGCCAUUCUUGUGAAGUCCAUGGAGUGCAGAUAACAGGAAGAAAACCACCACGCAGUGUCGCUUGGAGGAUCAACAAACAGUAUGAGAUGGAGCAUCUGCACAUAUGCUGUAGAUGCACAUGUAUGUAGUUUAUGCAUUGUUCUUGGCCCAAAAGAGGUGGCAAAGUUGUGACAUUCAAUGGCCGACCAGUUCCAUUUAAAAGGAAGUACAGAGCAAACCUGUUGUUUGUCUGGACACUUUGUAACUUGUUUUCACAAAUCUUCCCUUUUCAACAUCAUUUAACAAACUAUUACAGGCCUUUUAAUAAAUUACAGUCGUUAACCUUGCUGAGAGUAGCUGAAGGCAGGAUUUUAAUUCAUGCAGUAAAAAGUCUGUCCUCCAGGCACGAACGUUCAAGAUCACACGAGUGUCGGAGCUAAUAUCAGCUCAAGGACCAGCAGGACCAACGCUGGCUUACAGCCAUCUUCUGUACCUUUACAGAGCUGACUGGUUCCUGCCUGUGCCAGUGCACAGAUUCUUCUCAUACUGCUUUUUUUUUCUGGGCUCCAAGCUGUCUCUGUAAUCUGUUGUUGCAGCUGGAAUAGCUGGAGCAAGGGAAGGCCCUUGUUACCCUUGCUUUGCCUUUAAGGACAUACCUGCCAGCUCUUCUGUAGGGAGUUUCCUGCAGAAGGAGCUGCGCAGAGGCAGCACAUCUGACUAAUGGCUAUGAGAGACACCACCUGCAAGGGCUGUCACCAGGCAGCCUUGAAUCAGUCGUGAGAGUCUCAUUAGCUCCUGAUUCCUUAAUGGUAUCCAUCUACUUCUAUUACCAUCUAUUUUUGUAUCCCCUGUGCGACCGUCACCUUAAUAGGAACCCUCUGUCCGCAUGAAUGUGGUUAUUUUUCAUCCAUAUGGGAAUGUUUGCAUACACUUUUAACUCUAAAAGAUGAAAAUUUUAACAAAAAGAAAUCUGCUGCAAACAGAUGCUCAGUACCUUUUUCCCAAAAUAACCCCAACAUUUUGCCUCCCUUGAAGAAAAGAUCUUGAGAAACACUGCAAAAAUAUUUCUUCAAUACAUUUUUGGCUUGCCAGGUCUUGCCAGGUCUAGUUAUUCUAGCUGCUUAUCUCACUUAUGUAAUAUUUGAGUUUGUUGUUGUUGUUUCAUACUUUUAACUGCUUGCUUGUAGCGUUAUUUCUGGCCUUGGCUCAAUUUCUGCGGUUGCAGAUGGCUGCAGUCUGAGACAGUUUCUGUCUGAACCAGCUUACGAUGCCACACUGAGUCAGAGGAAAAUCAGAAAUGAGAGAGGGCACAGAUCACCUCUGCCUCAGCUGCGUAGGAGCACAACUGUACGGCAGGACCAAAGGUUGUCAAGUGGAACGGGCAUUGAGUCAUGACUGGCAGAGAUGACUUCGCUCUGAGUGGAGUCUUGGCAGCAAAAAAUCAACAAAGACUCUUGCAAAGUGUUCACCUGCCCUGAGGGAUGGAACGUCUUGGCAAGAUGUCUGCAUUACAAUUGGAAUAUUGUUCCUGCUGGGAGAAGACUUGAGAGAAUAUUUUUACUUCUCACCAGUUCCUGCUGUGCCUUGGCAUUUACAGUCCCUUUGGAGUAACACCAUCAGCAGUUUUCACCUCUGCCUUGCAGACUGGCUCAGCGGUGUGACAAGAGUAUUAGUUCAUCACCGAGCUAUAGGGGAAAGUGAGUCACCAAGACAGUGUCCCUUAGGUCAGCUGUUAAGAAGUGAGAAGGAGAACCUGGCUGAAAUCUGGCUGGGAGAACCAUCGCCUGCAUUGCUAUUGAUUAUGGAAAAUCUGAGGCAUGAUUGCCACACUCCGCACUCCCCGUCUCCCUGCCUUGCAGAUCCAGUCUUCUGGAAGGUCUUUGCGAGUCGCUUGUUCCCUCCAGAACCUCCUACCAAUCUGCAGAACCUCAUUUGGAUCUAAAAUAGAGCUCCCUAUAUGACAAUCAGGCCAUCUGAAGCUGUGCUCAGCUGAAUGGCCCAGGUCCCUAAACAUGCCUGCAUUUCUCACGUGUGUAUUUCUUAAAGCAUGACAAGGUCCCCUCUUGCAUCCAAAAGUCUUCCAAGAAUUCAGUAUCAAGUAGCUCAUCUUGAUUAUUGGAUCACAACUGGUCCUGCAAGGUGAUGGUGAGGGAGCAAAGACAGAGGCUGCAGUGAAAGUGGAACAGAAGAGAAUUUACACCUGUCCCUUGCAUGACUUAGGGCGUUCUUGAACCAAGGCCUCUAUCCCCUUGAGCAGUCAAACAGAAACACAGCAGUAGCAGAACCGGUAGCGCAGUAACAGGGAAUGGCAAGAUGUGAGCUGUUAUUGCCCUCUGCUGACCGUUUGCUAUACAGUGCCAUCACUUCAAGUAUUUUCUGCAAACAAAGCUGCCAAGAAAGAUUUCUGAGAUCUGCAGUUAAUUGAAGGAACCUCUCUCUCUCUGUUUUUUUUUUUUUUCUUUUUCUUUUCACAAUGUUAGAUAUUUCCUUAGCUGAACCGAGGUUGCAGUUCAAUCAAAUACCAGUUUGGGGUAAGCAGGCCAGGAAGUAGUGACCUAUGGUAACUAAGAGGUUGGGCUAGGCAGUCACAUUUGUCUUCUGCUCUAUCAGCUUCCCCAAGGUCACACUGCAGUUUUGAGAGUAAGCCAGGAAGCAAAUCCCUUUUUUCUUGGUUCUCGUCCAGCACUUCACAGAGCUUUUCCUCUUGUUUAUGUUUCAGAAUUAUCUAACAAAUGGCUUGUAAACAUGUAUUUAAAUAUUCUAGUGAUGAACAAGGCAGAAAGGUCUUUUUUUUUUUUAUACUUUAAAAAAA
Molecule: long non-coding RNA, 8889 nt
Organism: Numida meleagris (helmeted guineafowl)
Lineage: Eukaryota; Metazoa; Chordata; Aves; Galliformes; Numididae
Exons: 4
Source: RefSeq, a predicted model, not a curated record